UCACCUCCAGCAUUACCAUUAUUGGAGGCACUGCCUGCCCAGUGACAUCUGUUAAACGGCCGCGGUAUCCUGACCGUGCAAAGGUAGCAUAAUCAUUUGUUCUCUAAAUAAGGACUUGUAUGAACGGCCACACGAGGGUUUAACUGUCUCUUACUUCCAAUCAGUGAAAUUGACCUUCCCGUGAAGAGGCGGGAAUCCACAAAUAAGACGAGAAGACCCUAUGGAGCUUUAAUUAAUUAGCUCAUAAGCAAACAACAACACUCUAAGGGAACAUAACAUACUGCAUAAUGAGUUAACAAUUUAGGUUGGGGUGACCUCGGAAUACAAAACAACUUCCGAGUGAUUCAAAUCGAGACUUACAAGUCAAAACAACUCAUCACUUAUUGAUCCAAAUACUUGAUCAACGGAACAAGUUACCCUAGGGAUAACAGCGCAAUCCUAUUUAAGAGUCCAUAUCGACAAUAGGGUUUACGACCUCGAUGUUGGAUCAGGACAUCCCAAUGGUGCAGCCGCUAUUAAUGGUUCGUUUGUUCAACGAUU
Molecule: ribosomal RNA, 540 nt
Filed under: Cynopterus sphinx (Indian short-nosed fruit bat)
Lineage: Eukaryota; Metazoa; Chordata; Mammalia; Chiroptera; Pteropodidae
Description: partial 16S ribosomal RNA
Rfam family: Bacterial large subunit ribosomal RNA
Source: RNAcentral